GACGAACGCUGGCGGCGUGCCUAAUACAUGCAAGUCGAGCGGGGUUGUCGGAGUGGAGUCCUUCGGGAUGAAGCACCGUCAACCUAGCGGCGGACGGGUGAGUAACGCGUGGGUAACCUGCCCUAAAGCCCGGGAUAACACCGGGAAACUGGUGCUAACACCGGAUACCUUCCGAAGAGGGCAUCCUUUUUGGAAGAAAGGUUAACGCUUUAGGAUGGGCCCGCGUCCCAUUAGCUAGUUGGUGAGGUAACGGCUCACCAAGGCAGUGAUGGGUAGCCGGCCUGAGAGGGUGGACGGCCACACUGGGACUGAGACACGGCCCAGACUCCUACGGGAGGCAGCAGUAGGGAAUAUUGCGCAAUGGGCGAAAGCCUGACGCAGCGACGCCGCGUGGGUGAUGAAGGCCUUCGGUUGUAAACCUAGUCCUUGGGAAGAAGGAAGUGACGGUACCCGAAGGAGGAAGACCCGGCUAACUACGUGCCAGCAGCCGCGGUAAAGUCACGUCG
RNAcentral lists this ribosomal RNA (506 nucleotides) under uncultured bacterium. RNAcentral's name for it is "bacterial SSU rRNA". It matches the Rfam family "Bacterial small subunit ribosomal RNA", at positions 28 to 530 of the family's 1533-position model. The record is from RNAcentral.